Long non-coding RNA from Olea europaea var. sylvestris, 506 nucleotides. RefSeq lists it as uncharacterized. NCBI's taxonomy places the organism in Eukaryota, Viridiplantae, Streptophyta, Magnoliopsida, Lamiales, Oleaceae. The record is from RefSeq and is a predicted model, not a curated record. The transcript is spliced from 3 exons.
GCGAAAACAAAGAGCUCAUUCAUUACUGGGUUUCAAUUUUUCUUUACGUUAUUGAUGUAUUAGAACAUCCCAAUUAACUUGAGCAUGAAAGCAUGAAUUUUUAUGCUUUGCAACCUAUCUGGAGGAUUCUGCAAGCAUGCAGGCCUGGCCGUAACAUUUGAGAAAUAUCCUUUUUCAGGGACUGGACAAUUGGACAAUUGUGAAUUGCAAAUCGUGAUUGUUCGUAUUACAAGAUCAAUAAAGGAGCUAGCAGAAUUUAUCACAGUUUCUAUCUAAAUACAAAGCAAAUCCUUGAUGGGAAUUGAAUUUUAUUUAUUUUUCUGUAUGCACGAUUAAGUAAAUUUUCAACAAGAACCUGUCUUAAAUUUGAUACUUGUGGUUUUUGCUGUAUAUAGGAAUCGUACUAAUGGAUCACAGCGUACUAAGCUUAAAAACUAGAAGUUACUUUUAAGUAACUUGUUUGUCUAUAGGUAAGCUUAGCCAAAUGUGCUUUUUACUGCCUUCUU